This 253-nucleotide ribosomal RNA is filed under the name uncultured bacterium. Its description in RNAcentral is "partial 16S ribosomal RNA". It matches the Rfam family "Bacterial small subunit ribosomal RNA", at positions 524 to 776 of the family's 1533-position model. The record is from RNAcentral.
UACGUAGGGGGCGAGCGUUGUCCGGAAUCAUUGGGCGUAAAGCGCGUGUAGGCGGCUCGAUAAGUCCGGUGUGAAAGUCCAGGGCUCAACCCUGGGAUGCCGGUGGAUACUGUCGGGCUCGAGUCCGGAAGAGGAGUGUGGAAUUCCUGGUGUAGCGGCGAAAUGCGCAGAUAUCAGGAGGAACACCAAUGGCGAAGGCAGCACUCUGGGACGUGACUGACGCUGAGACGCGAAAGCGUGGGGAGCAAACAGG